GACGAACGCUGGCGGCGUGCUUAACACAUGCAAGUCGAACGGAAAGGCCCUGCUUUUGUGGGGUGCUCGAGUGGCGAACGGGUGAGUAACACGUGAGUAACCUGCCCUUGACUUUGGGAUAACUUCAGGAAACUGGGGCUAAUACCGGAUAGGAGCUCCUGCUGCAUGGUGGGGGUUGGAAAGUUUCGGCGGUUGGGGAUGGACUCGCGGCUUAUCAGCUUGUUGGUGGGGUAGUGGCUUACCAAGGCUGUGACGGGUAGCCGGCCUGAGAGGGUGACCGGCCACAUUGGGACGGAGAUACGGCUCAGACUCCUACGGGAGGGAGCAGUGGGGAAUAUGGCAAAAGGGGCGGGAGCGUGAUGCAGCAACGGAGCGUGAGGGAUGACGGCUUUCGGGGUGUAAAUCGCUUUCGACUGUGACGAAGCGUGAGGGAAGGUAAUGGGUAAAGAAGCACCGGCUAACUA
RNAcentral lists this ribosomal RNA (464 nucleotides) under uncultured bacterium. Its description in RNAcentral is "partial 16S ribosomal RNA". It matches the Rfam family "Bacterial small subunit ribosomal RNA", at positions 28 to 503 of the family's 1533-position model. The record is from RNAcentral.